This 399-nucleotide ribosomal RNA is filed under the name uncultured bacterium. RNAcentral's name for it is "bacterial SSU rRNA". It matches the Rfam family "Bacterial small subunit ribosomal RNA", at positions 361 to 776 of the family's 1533-position model. The record is from RNAcentral.
AUCUUGCACAAUGGGCGAAAGCCUGAUGCAGCGACGCCGCGUGGGUGAGGAAGUUCUUCGGAAUGUAAAGCCCUUUUACCGGGGACGAUCACAGACGGUACCCGGUGAAUAAGCCCCGGCUAACUACGUGCCAGCAGCCGCGGUAAUACGUAGGGGGCGAGCGUUGUCCGGAUUUACUGGGCGUAAAGAGCGCGUAGGCGGAAGCUUAAGUGUGGCCUGAAAGCCCCCGGCUCAACCGGGGAGGGUGGCUGCAAACUGGGCUUCUAGAGGGGGAUAGAGGAAAGUGGAAUUCCGGGUGUAGCGGUGAAAUGCGUAGAGAUCCGGAGGAACACCAGUGGCGAAGGCGGCUUUCUGGGUCCGCCCUGACGCUGAGGCGCGAAAGCGUGGGGAGCGAACGGG